GUUUAUCUUAGGCAAUAUGUCAAGAAUGAAGCAUUUGCAUGGAAAAUCAUAGGGAAUGUGAAAAAAGAAUGAAUUACUAUUAGUGUUGUUGAGUCCCAAAUCGAUUGGAUAUUGGGAAAAAGUGCUUUGUAUAUGAGUUUAGCAAUCCACCACCCAUAAGGUGCAUUUUGAGAUAAAGCUAGGUUCGGUCUAUUUUAUCAAGUAUGAAAUUA
RNAcentral lists this unclassified non-coding RNA (212 nucleotides) under Hevea brasiliensis (rubber tree). Lineage: Eukaryota; Viridiplantae; Streptophyta; Magnoliopsida; Malpighiales; Euphorbiaceae. The record is from RNAcentral.